AUUGAACGCUGGCGGCAGGCCUAACACAUGCAAGUCGAGCGGAUGAAGGGAGCUUGCUCCUGGAUUCAGCGGCGGACGGGUGAGUAAUGCCUAGGAAUCUGCCUGGUAGUGGGGGAUAACGUCCGGAAACGGGCGCUAAUACCGCAUACGUCCUGAGGGAGAAAGUGGGGGAUCUUCGGACCUCACGCUAUCAGAUGAGCCUAGGUCGGAUUAGCUAGUUGGUGGGUUAAAGGCCUACCAAGGCGACGAUCCGUAACUGGUCUGAGAGGAUGAUCAGUCACACUGGAAGUGAGACACGGUCCAGACUCCUGCGGGAGGCAGCAGUGGGGAAUAUUGGACAAUGGGCGAGAGCAUGAUCCAGCCAUACGGCGUGUGUGAAGAAGGUCUUCGGAUUGGAAAGCAAUUUAAGUUGGGGGGAAGGGAAGUAAGUUAAUACCUUGCUGUUUUGACGGUACCAACAGAAUAAGCACCGGCUAACUUCGUG
Molecule: ribosomal RNA, 484 nt
Filed under: uncultured bacterium
Lineage: Bacteria
Description: partial 16S ribosomal RNA
Rfam family: Bacterial small subunit ribosomal RNA
Source: RNAcentral